AAAUGCAGCGCAUAGAGAAGUCCUGUAAAGUGUACAGUAGCAGGAGGAAGGAACAUCAUUCAGUGACGGUGUACACAGAGAGCAGGACAUCUUAGAAACUCACGUGCAUUUCAGCACAUUCUGUGCCAUUGCAUGAAGAGAUGGGAUGAGAGAUGAGAGAUGGUAUUCUAGGGCCUGAAGAAAUGAGCCCUACCUGCAGCAUCUUUGCAGAGGCCAGGGAUACUGACAUCAGUGUGCCAAACACCUUGUAAAGGGAAGUUUCUACAGCUACUGAGGAGUGACAGAUUGCUGUGGUAUGUGAUGCACUUCUGAAACACGCCUGAAUCACUGCGGGAUGUCCCCAUGCUCUGCCAGCAUUGAGCACAGAAAUUCACCAAGCAGGGAGAAGCCUAUUCUCAACUUCAGAAGAAGCUGGAUGGUGGUGCAUUUGUGCACCAGGAAAGGAUGGAAAUGCAGCAUGGAAAGGCUGCAUGAGACAGUCCUGACCUCUACCGUAGUGGGGGCUGCAAAAUGCAGACACUUCUCUGCAUUCUGCUGUGAAGAGGCCUUCAAGCCCU
Molecule: long non-coding RNA, 557 nt
Filed under: Gallus gallus (chicken)
Lineage: Eukaryota; Metazoa; Chordata; Aves; Galliformes; Phasianidae
Description: long non-coding RNA NONGGAT009169
Source: RNAcentral